UAAUACCGGAUGGUUGUUUGAACCGCAUGGUUCAGACAUAAAAGGUGGCUUCGGCUACCACUUACAGAUGGACCCGCGGCGCAUUAGCUAGUUGGUGAGGUAACGGCUCACCAAGGCGACGAUGCGUAGCCGACCUGAGAGGGUGAUCGGCCACACUGGGACUGAGACACGGCCCAGACUCCUACGGGAGGCAGCAGUAGGGAAUCUUCCGCAAUGGACGAAAGUCUGACGGAGCAACGCCGCGUGAGUGAUGAAGGUUUUCGGAUCGUAAAGCUCUGUUGUUAGGGAAGAACAAGUGCCGUUCAAAUAGGGCGGCACCUUGACGGUACCUAACCAGAAAGCCACGGCUAACUACGUGCCAGCAGCCGCGGUAAUACGUAGGUGGCAAGCGUUGUCCGGAAUUAUUGGGCGUAAAGGGCUCGCAGGCGGUUUCUUAAGUCUGAUGUGAAAGCCCCCGGCUCAACCGGGGAGGGUCAUUGGAAACUGGGGAACUUGAGUGCAGAAGAGGAGAGUGGAAUUCCACGUGUAGCGGUGAAAUGCGUAGAGAUGUGGAGGAACACCAGUGGCGAAGGCGACUCUCUGGUCUGUAACUGACGCUGAGGAGCGAAAGCGUGGGGAGCGAACAGGAUUAGAUACCCUGGUAGUCCACGCCGUAAACGAUGAGUGCUAAGUGUUAGGGGGGUUUCCGCCCCUUAGUGCUGCAGCUAACGCAUUAAGCACUCCGCCUGGGGAGUACGGUCGCAAGACUGAAACUCAAAGGAAUUGACGGGGGCCCGCACAAGCGGUGGAGCAUGUGGUUUAAUUCGAAGCAACGCGAAGAACCUUACCAGGUCUUGACAUCCUCUGACAAUCCUAGAGAUAGGACGUCCCCUUCGGGGGCAGAGUGACAGGUGGUGCAUGGUUGUCGUCAGCUCGUGUCGUGAGAUGUUGGGUUAAGUCCCGCAACGAGCGCAACCCUUGAUCUUAGUUGCCAGCAUUCAGUUGGGCACUCUAAGGUGACUGCCGGUGACAAACCGGAGGAAGGUGGGGAUGACGUCAAAUCAUCAUGCCCCUUAUGACCUGGGCUACACACGUGCUACAAUGGACAGAACAAAGGGCAGCG
This 1102-nucleotide ribosomal RNA is filed under the name Bacillus velezensis. RNAcentral describes it as "bacterial SSU rRNA". It matches the Rfam family "Bacterial small subunit ribosomal RNA", at positions 164 to 1251 of the family's 1533-position model. The record is from RNAcentral. Lineage: Bacteria; Bacillati; Bacillota; Bacilli; Caryophanales; Bacillaceae.